AGUCUACCUGCCCACUGAAUUUAUUUAAAUGGCCGCAGUAUCCUAACUGUGCAAAGGUAGCAUAAUCAUUAGUCUUUUAAUUGAAGGCUGGUAUGAAUGGUUGGACGAGAUAUUAACUGUUUCAUAAAAAUUUAUAAUAGAAUUUUAUUUUUUAGUCAAAAAGCUAAAAUAAAAUUAAAAGACGAGAAGACCCUAUAAAUCUUUAUAUAUAAACUAUUAGAAUUUUGUAGAUUUUUUUUAUUAUAAUAGUUGAUUAUAUUUUAUUGGGGUGAUAUUAAAAUUUAAUAAACUUUUAAUUGUUUAAAUCAUUAAUUUAUGAAUAAUUGAUCCGUUAAUAACGAUUAAAAAAAUAAGUUACUUUAGGGAUAACAGCGUAAUUUUUUUGGAGAGUUCAUAUCGAUAAAAAAGAUUGCGACCUCGAUGUUGGAUUAAGAUAUAGUUUUAGGUGUAGCCGCUUAAAUUUUAAGUCUGUUCGACUUUUAAAUUCUUAC
This 491-nucleotide ribosomal RNA is filed under the name Ravinia derelicta. Its description in RNAcentral is "partial 16S ribosomal RNA". It matches the Rfam family "Bacterial large subunit ribosomal RNA", at positions 1898 to 2599 of the family's 2925-position model. The record is from RNAcentral. Lineage: Eukaryota; Metazoa; Arthropoda; Insecta; Diptera; Sarcophagidae.